UCCGUAGGUGAACCUGCGGAAGGAUCAUUAAAUAAUCAAUAAUCUUGGCUUGUCCAUUAUUAUCUAUUUACUGUGAACUGUAUUAUUAUUUGACGUUUGAGGGAUGUUCCAAUGUUAUAAGGAUAGACAUUGGAGAUGUUAACCGAGUCAUAAUCAGGUUUAGGCCUGGUAUCCUAUUAUUAUUUACCAAAUGAAUUCAGAAUUAAUAUUGUAACAUAGACCUAAAAAAUCUAUAAAACAACUUUUAACAACGGAUCUCUUGGUUCUCGCAUCGAUGAAGAACGCAGCAAAGUGCGAUAACUAGUGUGAAUUGCAUAUUCAGUGAAUCAUCGAGUCUUUGAACGCAACUUGCGCUCAUUGGUAUUCCAAUGAGCACGCCUGUUUCAGUAUCAAAACAAACCCUCUAUCCAACUUUUGUUGUAUAGGAUUAUUGGGGGCCUCUCGAUCUGUAUAGAUCUUGAAACCCUUGAAAUUUACUAAGGCCUGAACUUGUUUAAUGCCUGAACUUUUUUUUAAUAUAAAGGAAAGCUCUUGUAAUUGACUUUGAUGGGGCCUCCCAAAUAAAUCUUUUUUAAAUUUGAUCUGAAAUCAGGUGGGAUUACCCGCUGAACUUAAGCAUAUCAAUAAGCGGAGGA
RNAcentral lists this ribosomal RNA (635 nucleotides) under Mucor racemosus. RNAcentral describes it as "eukaryotic LSU rRNA". The stretch from base 240 to 392 matches the Rfam family "5.8S ribosomal RNA". The record is from RNAcentral. Lineage: Eukaryota; Fungi; Mucoromycota; Mucoromycetes; Mucorales; Mucoraceae.